AUUAAACGCUGGCGGCAUGCCUUACACAUGCAAGUCGAACGGCAGCACGGGGGCAACCCUGGUGGCGAGUGGCGAACGGGUGAGUAAAGCAUCGGAACGUGCCCUGGAGUGGGGGAUAACGUAGCGAAAGUUACGCUAAUACCGCAUAUUCUGUGAGCAGGAAAGCAGGGGAUCGCAAGACCUUGCGCUCUGGGAGCGGCCGAUGUCGGAUUAGCUAGUUGGUGGGGUAAAGGCCUACCAAGGCGACGAUCCGUAGCGGGUCUGAGAGGAUGAUCCGCCACACUGGGACUGAGACACGGCCCAGACUCCUACGGGAGGCAGCAGUGGGGAAUUUUGGACAAUGGGCGAAAGCCUGAUCCAGCCAUGCCGCGUGAGUGAAGAAGGCCU
This 387-nucleotide ribosomal RNA is filed under the name uncultured bacterium. Its description in RNAcentral is "bacterial SSU rRNA". It matches the Rfam family "Bacterial small subunit ribosomal RNA", at positions 29 to 417 of the family's 1533-position model. The record is from RNAcentral.